Long non-coding RNA from Suricata suricatta (meerkat), 207 nucleotides. RefSeq lists it as uncharacterized. The transcript has 3 exons. NCBI's taxonomy places the organism in Eukaryota, Metazoa, Chordata, Mammalia, Carnivora, Herpestidae. The record is from RefSeq and is a predicted model, not a curated record.
ACACACACCCAGAAGCAAGCCUGGCUCUGCCGGUCAAUCGUGUGUAAAAUGUCAGCCUGGCCUUCCUAUGCCGGGCUGUUGACGUGCAUUGUUGCUGCCUUGGGAGUCUCUGGUUGACUCAUCUUUUGCCGUAUCCCUUGCACCUGGCUGGAGGGGACGGUGAGCUGUACCUUACAUGUGCCAAGCCUGCCCUGAUGCCAGGCUCUG